UCCGUUGGUGAACCAGCGGAGGGAUCAUUACCGAGUUUUCAACUCCCAAACCCUUAUGUGAACUCACCUAUCGUUGCUUCGGCGGACUCGCCCCAGCCGGACGGGACUGGACCAGCGGCCCGCCGGGGACCUCAAACUCUUGUAUUCCAGCAUCUUCUGAAUACGCCGCAAGGCAAAACAUAUGAAUCAAAACUUUCAACAACGGAUCUCUUGGCUCUGGCAUCGAUGAAGAACGCAGCGAAAUGCGAUAAGUAAUGUGAAUUGCAGAAUCCAGUGAAUCAUCGAAUCUUUGAACGCACAUUGCGCCCGCCAGCAUUCUGGCGGGCAUGCCCUUUCGAGCGUCAUUUCAACCCUCGACCCCCCCUUGGGGAGGUCGGCGUUGGGGACGGCAGCACACCGCCGGCCCUGAAAUGGAGUGGCGGCCCGUCCGCGGCGACCUCUGCGUAGUAAUACAGCUCGCACCGUAACCCGACGCGGCCUCACCGUAAAACGACCCAACUUCUGAACGUUGACCUCGAAUCAGGUAGGACUACCCGCUGAACUUAAGCAUAUCAAUAAGCGGAGGAC
Molecule: ribosomal RNA, 567 nt
Filed under: Beauveria bassiana
Lineage: Eukaryota; Fungi; Ascomycota; Sordariomycetes; Hypocreales; Cordycipitaceae
Description: eukaryotic LSU rRNA
Rfam family: 5.8S ribosomal RNA (bases 191-344)
Source: RNAcentral